Molecule: non-coding RNA, 76 nt
Organism: Trichonephila inaurata madagascariensis
Lineage: Eukaryota; Metazoa; Arthropoda; Arachnida; Araneae; Nephilidae
Source: the annotation of a GenBank genome assembly
UUCCCUGUAUACACCAGUGGAUAAUGAAUUGGAUUUUUAAUCCAAAGGUCGUGGGUUCAAAUCCCAACAGGGAUAA